AGAGUUUGAUUCCUGGCUCAGGACGAACGCUGGCGGCGUGCCUAAUACAUGCAAGUUGAACGAUGAUUUCUGGUACUUGUAUCAGAAUGAAGAGUAGCGAACGGGUGAGUAACGCGUGGGUAACCUACCUCUUAGCGGGGGACAACUAUUGGAAACGAUAGCUAAUACCGCAUAACAAUGCUUAACACAUGUUGAGUAUUUGAAAGUACCAAUUGGUACACUAGGAGAUGGACCCGCGUUGUAUUAGCUAGUUGGUAGUGUAAUGGACUACCAAGGCGAUGAUACAUAGCCGACCUGAGAGGGUGAUCGGCCACAUUGGGACUGAGACACGGCCCAAACUCCUACGGGAGGCAGCAGUAGGGAAUCUUCGGCAAUGGACGAAAGUCUGACCGAGCAACGCCGCGUGAGUGAAGAAGGUUUUCGGAUCGUAAAGCUCUGUUGUUAGAGAAGAACGUUGUGUAGAGUGGAAAAUUACACAAGUGACGGUAUCUAACCAGAAAGGGACGGCUAACUACGUGCCAGCAGCCGCGGUAAUACGUAGGUCCCGAGCGUUGUCCGGAUUUAUUGGGCGUAAAGCGAGCGCAGGUGGUUUAAUAAGUCUGAUGUAAAAGGCAGUGGCUCAACCAUUGUGUGCAUUGGAAACUGUUAGACUUGAGUGCAGUAGAGGAGAGUGGAAUUCCAUGUGUAGCGGUGAAAUGCGUAGAUAUAUGGAGGAACACCGGUGGCGAAAGCGGCUCUCUGGACUGUAACUGACACUGAGGCUCGAAAGCGUGGGUAGCAAACAGGAUUAGAUACCCUGGUAGUCCACGCCGUAAACGAUGAGUGCUAGUUGUUUGGGGCUAUCCAGCCCUAAGUGACGCAGCAAACGCAUUAAGCACUCCGCCUGGGGGAGUACGACCGCAAGGUUGAAACUCAAGGAAUUGACGGGGGCCCGCACAAGCGGUGGAGCAUGUGGUUUAAUUCGAGCAACGCGAAGAACCUUACCAGGUCUUGACAUACCAGUGCUAUUCUUAGAAGAUAAGAAGCUACUCGUACACUGGAUACAGGUGGUGCAUGUGGUCGUCAGCUCGUGUCCUGAGAAUGUUGGGUCUAAGUUCCCGCAACGGAGCGC
Molecule: ribosomal RNA, 1111 nt
Filed under: uncultured Lactococcus sp.
Lineage: Bacteria; Bacillati; Bacillota; Bacilli; Lactobacillales; Streptococcaceae
Description: bacterial SSU rRNA
Rfam family: Bacterial small subunit ribosomal RNA
Source: RNAcentral